GUAGCAUGCGGAGCUACCAUGCAGUCGAGCGGUACAGAGAGUAGCUUGCUACUCUGCUGACGAGCGGCGGACGGGUGAGUAAUGCUUGGGAAUGUACCUUAUGGUGGGGGACAACAGUUGGAAACGACUGCUAAUACCGCAUAAUGUCUUCGGACCAAAGCGGGGGACCUUCGGGCCUCGCGCCAUAAGAUCAGCCCAAGUGGGAUUACCUAGUUGGUGAGGUAAUGGCUCACCAAGGCGACAAUCCCUAGCUGGUUUGAGAGGAUGAUCAGCCACGCUGGGACUGAGACACGGCCCAGACUCCUACGGGAGGCAGCAGGGGGGAAUAUUGCACAAUGGGCGCAAGCCUGAUGCAGCCAUGCCGCGUGUGUGAAAAAGGCCUUCGGGUUGAAAAGCACUUUCACAAAGGAGGAAAGGUUGGAUGUUAAUAGCAUUCAGCUGUGACGUUACUUACAGAAGAAGCACCGGUUAACUCCGUGCCAGCAGCCGCGGAAAUACGGAGGGUGCGAGCGUUAAUCGGAAUUACUGGGCGUAAAGCGUACGCAGGCGGUUUGUUAAGCAAGAUGUGAAACCCCCGGGCUCAACCUGGAAACUGCAUUUCAAACUGGAAAACUAGAGUGUGAUAGAGGGUGGUAGAAGUUCAGGUGUAGCGGUGAAAUGCGUAGAGAUCUGCAGGGAGUACAGAUGGCGAAGGCACCCACCUGGGUCACUCUGACGCUCAUGUACGAAAGCGUGGGGAGCUAACAGGAUUAGAUACUCUGGUAGUCA
RNAcentral lists this ribosomal RNA (768 nucleotides) under Pseudoalteromonas sp. RNAcentral describes it as "bacterial SSU rRNA". It matches the Rfam family "Bacterial small subunit ribosomal RNA", at positions 39 to 796 of the family's 1533-position model. The record is from RNAcentral. Lineage: Bacteria; Pseudomonadati; Pseudomonadota; Gammaproteobacteria; Alteromonadales; Pseudoalteromonadaceae.